GGGGAUGUAGCUCAGGGGCAGAGCGCUCGCUUCGCAUGUGAGAGGACCCGGGUUCAAUCCCCGGCAUCUCCA
Molecule: non-coding RNA, 72 nt
Organism: Phlebotomus papatasi
Lineage: Eukaryota; Metazoa; Arthropoda; Insecta; Diptera; Psychodidae
Source: Rfam